This 2853-nucleotide long non-coding RNA is filed under the name Homo sapiens (human). Its description in RNAcentral is "HSALNT0263271". The record is from RNAcentral. Lineage: Eukaryota; Metazoa; Chordata; Mammalia; Primates; Hominidae.
CCGUGCCAGGGCAGCGCGCGUUUCUCCCCCGACCCCGCCGCGGUCCGGCCUCGACCCCGCGGUCCCCAGCCCGACUCCGGCUCCGCUCGCCAGGUGCCGCCAGACUCGCGCGGGGCUCAGGCUCUCCACCGGGGGGCGCCUCUCGCCUCCCCUGCGCCGCGCGGCGUCCGGGGAGUGGAAACGCCCGGGCGGGCUGACUCAGGAAGAGGAGACUGAGACACAGGUUUAAGUGAUGUACCCAAGAUCACGGAACUAGUAAGUGGCCGAAUCCGCGUUCAAAUCCAGACGGUCUGGCUCCAGAGUCCGCCUUCUACCCCACCGUUGGCUGCCUUGGUUCAGCAACAGUGACUGUCACACGGAGCCCUCAGGAGUCGCGCUGACAAUGGGUGGGCCCUGCCUUCAAGUUCCACACUGUCUGUUUGUGUCAUUACAACACUACUGGAAGUAGGUGCAGUUAUAGACCCGCUGUUCAAGGUCAGCUGAAAUGAAAGUCAGGUCACACGAGUCCAAACUGUGGGGCCACUUAACCACCAACUCCAAGCAGGAAGGUGGACGAUCCCAGACUCGGUCGAAGACAAGCAUGUCUGGUUUGCUUGUCUUCCUUCUCAACCUGAAUGGCACGAACAUGGAGAAAUGCAUACUUACCCUGCCAGCUGGAGAAAACUGGAGACGAAGGAGGGAGCCAGGAGUUUCUACUUUGCCUUCCACCAGUUGCUGACACUUUCUGAACCCCGUCUGUAAAAUGAAGUCAUGCUGCCCAUCACUCAAAGUUGUGUGAAUUGAGAGAGUGCUCAUAGUGCUCUGUGAAUUGCAUAACAUCCAUUUUGCUGUUGAAGAUCAUUUAUUUUGGGUUCUUAGUCUCUCACAAAACCUUAGAACACUGACACCAAGACUCCAGCCUUUCCCUUUCGAAACAUAAUUCCCGUGCGCACCUAAAUGAUACUUUAUUUCAAGAAGUAGAACUGACACCCACACCUCAGCCCCAGAAUUAUUCAGAAUUAGAGAAUUUCAUCAAGAGGGAAGUUAUCCCUUCUAAAACAUCUUCCUCAUUACAGGAAGUAAGAAUGGCAGGAUAACAGUUUCUAGAGUGGAAAAGUGGAGCUCUGGCCUGAUUCUAUCAUCAUGGUGUACCCAGGGAGGCCUCAUUUCCUGGUAUCAAAUUCUCUGUGUUAAGAUAUCUAUGGCCCAAUUCAAAAUGGCUUAAGCAAUAAGAAGGUUUGUUUUCUCACAUAAUAAAAUGUUUGGAGGUAGGUAUGUCCAAGGUUGGUAAAGAGGCAGUUGAACAAUGUGACCAAAGACUCCAGUUCUGGCUGGGCCCGGUGGCUCACACCUGUAAUCCCAGCACUUUGGAAGGCUGAGGCAGGCGAAUCACUUGAGGCCAGGAGUUCGAGACCAGCCUAGCCAACAUAGUGAAACCCUGUCUCUACCAAAAGUACAAAAAUUAGGCAGGCAUGGUGGCGCGCGCCUGUAGUCCCAGUUACUCCAGAGGCUGAGACAGGAGAAUUGCUUGAAACCGAGAGGCAGAGGUUGCAGUGAGCUGAGAUCAUGCCGUUGCACUACAGCCUGGGUGAGAGAGUGAGACUCUCUCAGAAAAAAAAGACCCUGGUUCUGUCUAUCCUUUUGUGCCAUCAUCCUUGGUGUUCUGUUAUCCUGCGGUGUGCCCCUCAUGGUCCCAAGAUGGCUACUGUAGCUCAAAACAUCACAUCAUUACAUGCGAAUGUCCACAAGUGGAAGUUAGGACAUCCCUUCGAGCCUCUUUUUAAGAGUGAAGAAACCUUCCCUGGCUGGAUGCAGUGGCUCACACCUUCUGACCUUCCACUCCUCAAGCCCCGGAGUCAACUCUAGUCACACUGGCCUCCUUGCUGUGCCUCUUCCACAGCGAAUGUGUCCUGGCCUCAGACCCUUUACAUUUGCUGUUCCCUGUGCAUGGAACGCUCUUCCCUCAGGUCAUACAUAGCAUACAUUACUGAGUGCUCUCCAUGUGCCCAGCAUGGUUUGAUGCGCUUUACAUAUAUUAACUCAUGGAACCUAACAGCUUUAUGAGACGAGUCUGUUAUCUCCAUCCCCAUUUGAUAGAUGGGGCAUCCCUGUGGGAGCUCUGCCCAUUCCAGAGGUGCCAGGCCAUUCACUAAUGGGGGCAGGAGCCGGACAAGACCAGAGUGCAAACUCUUCAAGACAAGGGAAGAAUGACCCUGAAGGCAAUUCAGAGAUCAUCAAGGCUAUCUCCUUGCUUUCAAAAGUCGGGAGCAUUGCCUUGCAUUCAGCAGGUUAGAGGGCCUCUGUCCAAAGCCAUGGAGGAAGAGCUGCCCAGAGCUGUUGGUGUGGGGCUACCCAGAGCCCUGGGAACAUGACUUCUGCGGGAUAGAGCUGGAGGGACAGGACCACCACCCCAGAGGGUACAGAGGGUGGGACCACCACCAUUGUGGAUCUGGAAGGCUGCCUCAGUGGGCCUGGAAGCAGAGCAUUUAAUGAACUAAAAAUGAUUUUUCUUGAGCCUUAAGAUCUCAUGGAGUUUGCCUUGUAGUUUGGAUGUAAUUUGGAUCUGCUAUUCCUUUCUUCUUUCCUAUUUCUCCCUUUUGGAAUGGUCUAUCCUAUGCCUGUCUCACCAUUGUAUUUUGGAAGCAGAUAACUUGCUUGAUUUCACAGGCUCACCGCUGGAGAACAAUUUGCCCCAGGAUGCAUCACACCUUGAGUCUCAGCCAUAUCUGACUUAGAUGACACUUAGAUAAUAAAACUUUGGAUUUUAGACUUCAGAGUUAAUGCUGGAAUGAGUUAAGGCUUUUGGGGCUGUUGGAAUGUAAGGAAUGAAUGUAUUUUGCAUGUGAGAAGGAUGUGAAUUUGGCGGGGGAUGGG